This 301-nucleotide ribosomal RNA is filed under the name uncultured bacterium. Its description in RNAcentral is "partial 16S ribosomal RNA". It matches the Rfam family "Bacterial small subunit ribosomal RNA", at positions 509 to 809 of the family's 1533-position model. The record is from RNAcentral.
CAGCCUCCGCGGUAAUACGGAGGGUGCAAGCGUUAAUCGGAAUUACUGGGCGUAAAGCGCACGCAGGCGGUCUGUCAAGUCAGAUGUGAAAUCCCCGGGCUUAACCUGGGAACUGCAUUUGAAACUGGCAGGCUAGAGUCUUGUAGAGGGGGGUAGAAUUCCAGGUGUAGCGGUGAAAUGCGUAGAGAUCUGGAGGAAUACCGGUGGCGAAGGCGGCCCCCUGGACAAAGACUGACGCUCAGGUGCGAAAGCGUGGGGAGCAAACAGGAUUAGAUACCCGCGUAGUCCCUGUCUCUUAUAA